Molecule: ribosomal RNA, 225 nt
Filed under: uncultured prokaryote
Description: partial 16S ribosomal RNA
Rfam family: Bacterial small subunit ribosomal RNA
Source: RNAcentral
ACGUAGGGUGCGAGCGUUAAUCGGAAUUACUGGGCGUAAAGCGCGUGCAGGUGGUUCGUUAAGUCAGGUGCGAAAGCCCCGGGCUCAACCUGGGAACUGCGCUUGUGACUGGCGAACUAGAGUACUGUAGAGGGGGGUGGAAUUUCAGGUGUAGCGGUGAAAUGCGUAGAGAUGUGAAGGAAUACCAAUGGCGAAGGCAGCCCCCUGGACAGAUACUGACGCUCA